RNAcentral lists this ribosomal RNA (264 nucleotides) under uncultured bacterium. Its description in RNAcentral is "partial 16S ribosomal RNA". It matches the Rfam family "Bacterial small subunit ribosomal RNA", at positions 793 to 1055 of the family's 1533-position model. The record is from RNAcentral.
GUCCUUGCCGUAAACGAUGUGUACUUGAUGUAGUUAGGCUCAACCCUGACUGUGUCGAAGCUAACGCGAUAAGUACACCGCCUGAGGAGUACGCUCGCAAGGGUGAAACUCAAAAGAAUUGACGGGGGCCCCGCACAAGCAGUGGAGCAUGUGGUUUAAUUCGAUGCAACGCGAAGAACCUUACCUGGGCUCGAAAUGUAAACGACGAUUACAGAGAUGUAAUUUUCCGCAAGGACGUUUAUAUAGGUGCUGCAUGGCUGUCGU